RNAcentral lists this long non-coding RNA (652 nucleotides) under Podarcis lilfordi (Lilford's wall lizard). Lineage: Eukaryota; Metazoa; Chordata; Lepidosauria; Squamata; Lacertidae. The record is from RNAcentral.
CUCUGAUUCGCUGGAAAGACUCAUGGAAUCUCUUGAGUCAUUGUCAUCCUCUUCCUCGCUGUCCUGGGAUUCAUCCCCAUCGCUGUCCAUCUCCUGCCUACCCUGUGCCUCUCUCCCUGAACCCCUGACAGUUAGGUUUAGGUUUAGGUUUAGGUUUAGGGUUAGGGUUAGGUUUAAGGUUAAGGUAGAGGUAGAGGUUCGGGUUCGGGUUCGGGUUCGGGUUCGGGUUCGGGUUAGGGUUAGGGUUAGGGUUAGGGUUAGGGUUAGGUUUGAGGUUAGAGUUAGAGUUAGAGUUAGAGUUAGGGCUAGGGCUAGGGCUAGGGCUAGGGUUAGGGUUAGGGUUAGGGUUAGGGUUAGGAUUGGGAUUGGGAUUGGGAUUGGGGUUGGGGUUAGGGUUAGGGUUAGGGUUAGGGUUAGGGUUAGGGUUAGGCUUAGGGUUAGGGUUAGGCUUGAGGUUAGGGUUAGAUUUAGGGUAGAGGUUAGGGUUAGCGUUAGGGUAUAGGCUAGGGUUAGAAUUAAGGUUAAGGUUAGGGUUAGGGUUAGGGUUAGGGUUAGGUUUGAGGUUAGAGUUAGAGUUAGAGUUAGAGUUAGAGUUAGGGCUAGGGCUAGGGCUAGGGUUAGGGUUAGGGUUAGGGUUGGGGUUGGGGUUGGG